CUGUCCAAAAAUAAUCGGCAUCUUAUUGCUACUCUCUCCAAUCUCCGAGGAACGAAAAAAAAGAGAGAUCAGAGAAGGGAUGCCUGCGAUAAGCAUUACAUGUAACGAUGGAUGCGAUGAAUGAAUGAAUGAAUGGUAUAGUCCUACGCAAUUUUUUUUUCUGGUUCUCUACUAGAUAGGAAAUCUGAAGUGAAGAAGGGGG
This 202-nucleotide long non-coding RNA is filed under the name Elaeis guineensis (African oil palm). RNAcentral's name for it is "long non-coding RNA (EGUI_LNC079580)". The record is from RNAcentral. Lineage: Eukaryota; Viridiplantae; Streptophyta; Magnoliopsida; Arecales; Arecaceae.